RNAcentral lists this transfer RNA (83 nucleotides) under Oscillospiraceae bacterium. RNAcentral describes it as "tRNA-Leu". It matches the Rfam family "tRNA". From Rfam's summary of the family: Transfer RNA (tRNA) molecules are approximately 80 nucleotides in length. Their secondary structure includes four short double-helical elements and three loops (D, anti-codon, and T loops). Further hydrogen bonds mediate the characteristic L-shaped molecular structure. tRNAs have two regions of fundamental functional importance: the anti-codon, which is responsible for specific mRNA codon recognition, and the 3' end, to which the tRNAs corresponding amino acid is attached (by aminoacyl-tRNA synthetases). tRNAs cope with the degeneracy of the genetic code in two manners: having more than one tRNA (with a specific anti-codon) for a particular amino acid; and 'wobble' base-pairing, i.e. permitting non-standard base-pairing at the 3rd anti-codon position. Lineage: Bacteria; Bacillati; Bacillota; Clostridia; Eubacteriales; Oscillospiraceae. The record is from RNAcentral.
GCGGGAGUGCUGGAAUGGUAGACAGGCACGUUUGAGGUGCGUGUGUCUUUGGCGUGUGGGUUCGAGUCCCAUCUCCCGCACCA